Molecule: non-coding RNA, 26 nt
Filed under: Mus musculus (house mouse)
Lineage: Eukaryota; Metazoa; Chordata; Mammalia; Rodentia; Muridae
Source: RNAcentral
UGCGAAGCCAGGGAUCCCCCCACCUC